GUGGGGAAUAUUGGACAAUGGGCGAAAGCCUGAUCCAGCCAUGCCGCGUGUGUGAAGAAGGUCUUCGGAUUGUAAAGCACUUUAAGUUGGGAGGAAGGGCAGUAAGUUAAUACCUUGCUGUUUUGACGUUACCGACAGAAUAAGCACCGGCUAACUUCGUGCCAGCAGCCGCGGUAAUACGAAGGGUGCAAGCGUUAAUCGGAAUUACUGGGCGUAAAGCGCGCGUAGGUGGUCUUGUAAGUUGGAAGUGAAAUCCCCAGGCUCAACCUGGGAACUGCGUUCGAAACUGCUGAGCUAGAGUACGGUAGAGGGUGGUGGAAUUUCCUGUGUAGCGGUGAAAUGCGUAGAUAUAGGAAGGAACACCAGUGGCGAAGGCGACCACCUGGACUGAUACUGACACUGAGGUGCGAAAGCGUGGGGAGCAAACAGGAUUAGAUACCCUAGUAGUCC
This 450-nucleotide ribosomal RNA is filed under the name uncultured bacterium. RNAcentral describes it as "partial 16S ribosomal RNA". It matches the Rfam family "Bacterial small subunit ribosomal RNA", at positions 354 to 796 of the family's 1533-position model. The record is from RNAcentral.